Molecule: ribosomal RNA, 290 nt
Filed under: uncultured bacterium
Lineage: Bacteria
Description: partial 16S ribosomal RNA
Rfam family: Bacterial small subunit ribosomal RNA
Source: RNAcentral
AACGAACGCUGGCGGCACGCCUAACACAUGCAAGUCGAACGAGAUAUUUGUUUUCGGAUAAGUAUUUAGUGGCGGACGGGUGAGUAACGCGUGGGAACUUGCCUUGCAGUAUGGGAUAACUUUCGGAAACGAAAGGUAAUACCGUAUACGCCCUUUGGGGGAAAGAUUUAUCGCUGUAAGAUGGGCCCGCGUUAGAUUAGGUAGUUGGUAGGGUAAAGGCCUACCAAGCCGAUGAUCUAUAGCUGGUUUGAGAGGAUGAUCAGCCACACUGGGACUGAGACACGGCCCAG